UACGUAGGUGGCAAGCGUUGUCCGGAAUUAUUGGGCGUAAAGCGCGCGCAGGCGGUCUCUUAAGUCUGAUGUGAAAGCCCCCGGCUCAACCGGGGAGGGUCAUUGGAAACUGGGAGACUUGAGUGCAGAAGAGGAGAGUGGAAUUCCAUGUGUAGCGGCGAAAUGCGUAGAUAUAUGGAGGAACACCAGUGGCGAAGGCGACUCUCUGGUCUGUAACUGACGCUGAGGCGCGAAAGCGUGGGGAGCAAACAGG
RNAcentral lists this ribosomal RNA (253 nucleotides) under uncultured bacterium. Its description in RNAcentral is "partial 16S ribosomal RNA". It matches the Rfam family "Bacterial small subunit ribosomal RNA", at positions 524 to 776 of the family's 1533-position model. The record is from RNAcentral.